UACACAUGUGUGCUGGGGACUCAGACCCUU
RNAcentral lists this non-coding RNA (30 nucleotides) under Mus musculus (house mouse). Lineage: Eukaryota; Metazoa; Chordata; Mammalia; Rodentia; Muridae. The record is from RNAcentral.